GACGAACGCUGGCGGCGUGCUUAACACAUGCAAGUCGAGCGGUAAGGCCCUUCGGGGUACACGAGCGGCGAACGGGUGAGUAACACGUGGGUGACCUGCCUCUAGCUCUGGGAUAAGCCUGGGAAACUGGGUCUAAUACCGGAUAUGACUCCACGGCGCAUGUUGUGGGGUGGAAAGCCUUGUGUGGCUAGAGAUGGGCCCGCGGCCUAUCAGCUUGUUGGUGGGGUGAUGGCUACCAAGGCGACGACGGGUAGCCGGCCUGAGAGGGCGACCGGCCACACUGGGACUGAGACACGGCCCAGACUCCUACGGGAGGCAGCAGUGGGGAAUCUUGCGCAAUGGGCGAAAGCCUGACGCAGCGACGCCGCGUGAGGGAUGACGGCC
RNAcentral lists this ribosomal RNA (384 nucleotides) under uncultured bacterium. Its description in RNAcentral is "bacterial SSU rRNA". It matches the Rfam family "Bacterial small subunit ribosomal RNA", at positions 28 to 416 of the family's 1533-position model. The record is from RNAcentral.